AUGUGGCCUAUGGUAUUUGUAGUUUUCUUUACAAACGUGCCCCAGAUGUGUUUGCGGUGUCAAGAUAUUUAGGAGUAUCAUUGACCAAGAGCUGGGAUGAAAUUACAAAAAGGAUGAAAAUACCGCAGGGGAAAGUUGAAAAAGUUCGUGAUGUUUAAAGUCAGAGAUGGAAUGAAUGUGAACACUAGAUCAGACCUGCCAGGGGGAUCUGCAGCUACGCCAAGCCCAGCAAGGCUUCACUUAGCUGGGUAACAUCUGGUGUGGCCUCCCCUGCCUCCUGGACUAAAUGCAGAGUCUCAUCUGCGGGACAGUGAGGAUCAGUUUGGCCGGACUCCUCUGAUGUAUUGUGUGCUGGCCGACAGCUUGGACUAUACAGAGGUGCUGCAUAAGGCCGGCGCAGCCUCAACAAGACUGACCACAGUCAGAGGAUCGCACUGCACAGAAGGGCAAUGUGCGCUUCAUGAAACUCUUACUAUCACACCACACUGAUUGGCGGUUAAAGGAUCUGGAAGAAAUGACCCCAUUACACCUGGCAACCCGACACUCGAGGUCCAAACCUCUGUCUCUGCUCCUCUAGCACAUGGCACCUGGUGAGGUGGACACACAGGACAGGAAUAAGGUCGUGCAAAGAUUGUACACCUUCUGUUGGAGAGGAACAAGUCUGGGAAGAUCCCGUCAGACAGUCAGGGAGCAACACCUCUGCACUGGCUGAUCGCUUCCAUGCCACACCUCACUGAUGCUGGAGUUUGUGCUGAAGCAGCCCUCACCAAGACAUAGUCGCAGUAUUCCUAACACCACUCUUUGCAAGAUAAGCCCAAUCCGAAGAGACGAAAAGCAUUCAUGUGGGCUGCAGGGAAGGGUAGUGAAGAUGUCAUCAAAAUUAUGCUGGAAUUGAAAAAGGACUUGACAUAAACAUGACUGACAAAUAUGGAGGGAUAGGUACACUCCUCUAGACAAUGCCCUGCUGGGAGAGCAUCAGGAAUUAACCCAGUUUCUAUUGGAGCAUGGAGCUCUGUCCAUCGCCGCCAUCCAGAACAUCGCUGCUUUGUCCAUUCAGGCUCUUUACAAGGGCUACAAGGUCCAACGGGUCUUCAGAGAAUGCAAGAAGCUCCUCAUGAGGCACAAACAACUAUCCGCUAGUAUAACGCAAAGUAAGACCCACACGCUCUUCCUUGAAGAGAAAGAGAUUAGAUAAAUGGUGGGUUGCAAAUAUUCUCUUACCCACAAUCCAGUGCUGACUGAGGUGGCGAGGCUGAUCUGCAGAGCUGACACUGAAUGUUUGCAUGAAUAUAAUAUCUGUUAUUUAAUUAUGUGUGUUUGCUCAGGAGCAGCUCAUCUAUCUACCUUCCUACCUUGCUGAGGAAUAUGAGCAUCAAUUUCUUGCUGUCAAUAAUGGAAAUAGAUGAGAUGAUAGAGAGAGAGAAGGAAUGAGAGAAUCCUCCCUCCUUUUCUGUUAAUUGGGCAACGUUCAGCUGCUCAAUAGCUUGACAUUUAGAGUCUGUCAGCUCUGAGGAUGCAUGAAUACACACAUACGCAGCUUAGAAUAUGUUCUCUCUUUUCCAGGGUCUGCUUAAAUACUUCAACAUACAUUCAUUUAAUUGCCGUUAAACUUGUUUGCGUAGUCCGUCAGUCUAACCUUCUGUCCUUUAUCAGUGUUAUUCUGCCCAAAAUCUAUCCACUCUUUCUUUUUUUUGUUUCUUGCUAGGUGCUCAAAACAUGGAGGGAUAUUUAUCAAGUGUCCUUCACAAAUGCUGCCCUGGUGAACUCAGAUAUUGACCUGGAAUUAUUGUACCAACCAAUAGUCAGAACAAAAAGAUGAAAGUUUAAUUAUUUAGCCGACUCUAAAAACCUCAAAUUAACCUAAUGAUGAGCCAUCUGGCAUCUCCAACUGCACCUCUGUCACACGACAAAAAGAGAGACGGGCGGAAAGAGAGAUGCACAGAGAUAAGGAUAACAGAUCAAGGAAUGAGGGGAAUAAAUAGACUGGCAGAGAGAAACAGAAAUGUAUGGGGAUGGAAAGAGAUAAAGAGAGAUGGAUGGUCAGAACAAGAAAAAAACAAGUUGACAGAGAUAGAAAAGAAGAGAGAAAGCAUCAAUAGCAAAAACCAGGAGGCUGUUGCCAUACAGAGAUCAUGGAGGAGGUACUGGUGUCUGUCUUUUUUUCUCCUUCCACUUCAGAAUUCAUUAAUGCCUGCCCAUUUUUUUUACAGCAUUGGUUUCAAGUAUUUAAAAAGCCCAUUGAGUAACAACCUCGGAGCUCAAAACAGUUAAGUUACUGUUUAAAAAAAUCACAGUGGAGAAAAUGAAUUAUUAUUUUAUUUCUGGA
Molecule: long non-coding RNA, 2326 nt
Organism: Carassius gibelio (silver crucian carp)
Lineage: Eukaryota; Metazoa; Chordata; Actinopteri; Cypriniformes; Cyprinidae
Exons: 8
Source: RefSeq, a predicted model, not a curated record